AUUGAACGCUGGCGGCAUGCUUUACACAUGCAAGUCGAACGGUAACAGGCCGCAAGGUGCUGACGAGUGGCGAACGGGUGAGUAAUGCAUCGGAACGUGCCCAGUCGUGGGGGAUAACUACUCGAAAGAGUAGCUAAUACCGCAUACGAUCUAUGGAUGAAAGCGGGGGACCGUAAGGCCUCGCGCGAUUGGAGCGGCCGAUGUCAGAUUAGGUAGUUGGUGGGGUAAAGGCUCACCAAGCCAACGAUCUGUAGCUGGUCUGAGAGGACGACCAGCCACACUGGGACUGAGACACGGCCCAUACUCCUACGGGAGGCAGCAGUGGGGAAUUUUGGACAAUGGGCGCAAGCCUGAUCCAGCAAUGCCGCGUGCAGGAAGAAGGCCUUCGGGUUGUAAACUGCUUUUGUACGGAACGAAACGGCUCUGGUUAAUACCCGGGGCUAAUGACGGUACCGUAAGAAUAAGCACCGGCUAACUACGUG
This 482-nucleotide ribosomal RNA is filed under the name uncultured bacterium. RNAcentral's name for it is "partial 16S ribosomal RNA". It matches the Rfam family "Bacterial small subunit ribosomal RNA", at positions 30 to 507 of the family's 1533-position model. The record is from RNAcentral.